Molecule: ribosomal RNA, 1552 nt
Filed under: Staphylococcus aureus
Lineage: Bacteria; Bacillati; Bacillota; Bacilli; Caryophanales; Staphylococcaceae
Also listed under: 1 other name
Description: 16S ribosomal RNA
Rfam family: Bacterial small subunit ribosomal RNA
Source: RNAcentral
UUUAUGGAGAGUUUGAUCCUGGCUCAGGAUGAACGCUGGCGGCGUGCCUAAUACAUGCAAGUCGAGCGAACGGACGAGAAGCUUGCUUCUCUGAUGUUAGCGGCGGACGGGUGAGUAACACGUGGAUAACCUACCUAUAAGGCUGGGAUAACUUCGGGAAACCGGAGCUAAUACCGGAUAAUAUUUUGAACCGCAUGGUUCAAAAGUGAAAGACGGUCUUGCUGUCACUUAUAGAUGGAUCCGCGCUGCAUUAGCUAGUUGGUAAGGUAACGGCUUACCAAGGCAACGAUGCAUAGCCGACCUGAGAGGGUGAUCGGCCACACUGGAACUGAGACACGGUCCAGACUCCUACGGGAGGCAGCAGUAGGGAAUCUUCCGCAAUGGGCGAAAGCCUGACGGAGCAACGCCGCGUGAGUGAUGAAGGUCUUCGGAUCGUAAAACUCUGUUAUUAGGGAAGAACAUAUGUGUAAGUAACUGUGCACAUCUUGACGGUACCUAAUCAGAAAGCCACGGCUAACUACGUGCCAGCAGCCGCGGUAAUACGUAGGUGGCAAGCGUUAUCCGGAAUUAUUGGGCGUAAAGCGCGCGUAGGCGGUUUUUUAAGUCUGAUGUGAAAGCCCACGGCUCAACCGUGGAGGGUCAUUGGAAACUGGAAAACUUGAGUGCAGAAGAGGAAAGUGGAAUUCCAUGUGUAGCGGUGAAAUGCGCAGAGAUAUGGAGGAACACCAGUGGCGAAGGCGACUUUCUGGUCUGUAACUGACGCUGAUGUGCGAAAGCGUGGGGAUCAAACAGGAUUAGAUACCCUGGUAGUCCACGCCGUAAACGAUGAGUGCUAAGUGUUAGGGGGUUUCCGCCCCUUAGUGCUGCAGCUAACGCAUUAAGCACUCCGCCUGGGGAGUACGACCGCAAGGUUGAAACUCAAAGGAAUUGACGGGGACCCGCACAAGCGGUGGAGCAUGUGGUUUAAUUCGAAGCAACGCGAAGAACCUUACCAAAUCUUGACAUCCUUUGACAACUCUAGAGAUAGAGCCUUCCCCUUCGGGGGACAAAGUGACAGGUGGUGCAUGGUUGUCGUCAGCUCGUGUCGUGAGAUGUUGGGUUAAGUCCCGCAACGAGCGCAACCCUUAAGCUUAGUUGCCAUCAUUAAGUUGGGCACUCUAAGUUGACUGCCGGUGACAAACCGGAGGAAGGUGGGGAUGACGUCAAAUCAUCAUGCCCCUUAUGAUUUGGGCUACACACGUGCUACAAUGGACAAUACAAAGGGCAGCGAAACCGCGAGGUCAAGCAAAUCCCAUAAAGUUGUUCUCAGUUCGGAUUGUAGUCUGCAACUCGACUACAUGAAGCUGGAAUCGCUAGUAAUCGUAGAUCAGCAUGCUACGGUGAAUACGUUCCCGGGUCUUGUACACACCGCCCGUCACACCACGAGAGUUUGUAACACCCGAAGCCGGUGGAGUAACCUUUUAGGAGCUAGCCGUCGAAGGUGGGACAAAUGAUUGGGGUGAAGUCGUAACAAGGUAGCCGUAUCGGAAGGUGCGGCUGGAUCACCUCCUUU